AACUAAGCAUGGACCCUUUCAAGAAAGAGGACCUCUGCUCCUUUAAGACAUUUAAGCUCCUGUGGUCUUAAAGAAAUAACAUUCUGUUUCUAAAACUGCCACCAUUGCACAUGGACCACAACUUCGGUCAUAAGCUGAAUAGUUUCUGUGAGAAGUUCGCUGGAGAGAAAACAACUUUUUACUUGUCAGGAAUAAGUCAAAAUGCCGACCGCUUAACUUCUAAGAUCCAGAAAAUGCUGACAUCUUAAAUAAUUUUCCUCAAAUGUUCCUAAAUUAUCUAAAUAUGAAAAGGAACAAACACUCAAAAGGGAUCCAAUGAAAAUAUGCCUCUUGUUGCAAAAUAAUAAUACUGUUUUAGUAGCAUAGUACUAUAAAAAUUUUUAAAUUCAGACUGCAAUAUGUUUGAUAUUCAGACUGCAAAAUGAAAAAGUCAGUUACUGGAGUAAUCAAGGUCUAUUUUUAAAACAGAUUAUUUACUUUAUGCAAGAUUUUAUACCUCCAGACUGUAAUUAUACAAUGAUAGUAACUAUAAACUUUUAAAAACAAUUUGAAUAUAUUGUCAUUGAAUAUUUUACUUAAAGAUGACUAAUAAGAAAAUAAAUGCAUGAUGAUAAAAUGUCAUUUCUCCUCUGUAUAUAGUAAAAUAUUAAGUAGAAUAACACAAAUAAGUAGAUUCCUCAGGCAAAAUAAAAUGUCUGUAGAAAAAUAUAGGCACUUAAUAUUGUUAUUAUAUGUGCACGUUAUAUACACACAUUCAGAGAUAUAUGAAUGUCUUUGGUUUACCUAAUAUCAAGGUAUUCAGAAUUCUGCAGAAUCCUAAUGCACAUUCCUAUUAAACUGGCAGUAAUGUUAUCAAAUAUGAAUGUUCCUAUGGCCCAAAUGAAUAUUAUUUUUUUUCAGUGUGUUUUGCUUGCUAAAAAUAAGUGAAAAUAAAACACAACAAAUAAUUGAGCCACAGGCCCAAGUUGUUUUGGUAUGAGAAAGUUUGGAUAUAAUGUGGGAACACAUUUGGCCACUUCGGCAGUGAUUGACAGGGAACUUACAAUAGAAGGCCUGAAGGGAAUAUUGAGGCCAAAGAACUUUGUCAAGCUGAGCAAUUCUACCAAAAGUGUUAUCAUGAACCUGUUAAAUUUACAUGUGUUUUGUUUACACUGCAAAAGAGCAGUUCACCAUUGACAAAUUUGAGCGGUUGUUUCUGCGUUUAUGCAGUCGAAGAGCACUGGAAGCCUUGAAGGCAUUAUGUCAUACUACUUGCAUCACAUCGUCUAGGAGGCAACAUCUGCUGACAUGUCAGCAAGAACAUUGAAUAAUUCCAGACAAUUAAAGAGAAGUGAAAUAAAAAAGUAACUAUGUAUUAUACUAGUUAACGU
Molecule: long non-coding RNA, 1370 nt
Filed under: Anas platyrhynchos platyrhynchos (common mallard)
Lineage: Eukaryota; Metazoa; Chordata; Aves; Anseriformes; Anatidae
Description: lncRNA (ENSAPLG00000027252.1)
Source: RNAcentral